UCUAUAUAUUUGUCAAAUCUCUUUCUGUCAUAUUCAUUCAAUUUCAUACUCACUUUUUGUUCAUAUCCUUCACAUCAUAUUGUGAUCGAUAGUCUAAGCGACAUCCGAUUCCGAUCCUGUGAACUACCCAAUUUCUACCAAUGCUAUGCUCUUCUCCCAGCUUAUUCCAUCCUUACCAACUCAGGUUUCUUGCCAAAGUACUAUUAAUUAGGAGGAGUAGCAACAAAACGUGGUUUAUUUUAGGAUUAGAGACAUUUCUAGUCUAAAAUUUAGGUGGAAGAGCCAGUUCUCAUAAUGUUUUCUGCUGUGUUUCUUCUUGGAAACAUAGCCACACCGUGUUUCCACCUUCGCUCAGGCCAAUCAAUCACUGCAUGGUGAAAUUUUCUGAGAAUGGGCUUCACAGGAAAAAUAUCUUCAGCAACUUCCUUGUUACUUGGACUGGUAACUUUUCUUUUCAAGCUUUUAGGAAUAUCCCUGGUCACAUUUGAAGUCACACGGAAAGACCAGCCUGCCCAUUCUUGUGACUACGAUGAAGCGAAUGCUCGUAGGUUCACAUUUGAUGAAUCUCCAAUGUUUGUGCCAGCCACAGCUGGCUAUGAGCUUGUUUGGGAUGCAACCACUGGCUAUGGUUCACAAGGCACAGGACUUGGGGAAAUAAUGUGCAAUGUUUUGGUGGUGAAUGCUUUUGGCCAUUUGUCAAAGGACUAUUUGGGAAGGGAAAAUAUGGAAUUGUCCACUAUAUUCAAGUCAGCUAUCUUGGCCUUGCUUUCAUAUUGUAUUCCCUUAUCCUCUAAGAGCUAGAUAAGCUUGGCUUUUGCCAUAUUUUUAUCUUCCUUGGAGUAAGAGCUAGCUUAUUGAAAAAAAAUGAUUGGCCUAUUGAGGCAGAUGAUAAACCUGUUGGAAGUUCAAAUAAAAACAUGAUGUCAAUGUUUGUGAGCUGCUUGAUGUCAAUGUUUGUGUGCUGCUUGAUGUCAAUGCUUGUGUGCUGCCAGCUGCUUUUCUCUCAUGCAGCUGCACCUACCAAAAUGGAGGUUUCCGAUGAUUGCAACCAGUAAAGUUGCUGCAAUGUGUGAGUGUGUGAAAAGUCUAAAGUUACAACAAAGUGAGUGUGAAAGGAUGUAAAGACUUUGAACACUUUAUUUUGUUGGGUAUGUGUUAAUCUUUUUUUGUUUUAAACAAUAGUUGUUGAAUAUGACUUUUGUAUGGAGUUUUUAUAAAAUCUCUAUAAAAGAGAUGUUUAUGUAUAUUUGAUAUUCAUUCCAUCCACAAGGAAUCAAAGUGUUAUCACCGAAGCUUGCUCUCCCUCUUUUAUUUCUUUUGUCCAAUUUUAUUGAGAGUGAAAGUGAGAGGUGUGAUAGAGUUAGUAAACUUAUCACUCAUAUUUUGGUAUCGAGUUAGUAAACUUUGAAUACCAACAAAACCAGUAAGAAUUUAAGGUAUGUUUACUUUAAUAAUGGAUUGGUUAUCAAGUAAUCAAACAUAUGGCAUUACCAGUUGUUUAUGAUCAUUGAUCAUACCCAAUCGGACCAAUCAUAUUCAUAUCUCGUGGUAAUUAUACAAACUACUCUAACCUAUAGUUUACACUGCCCAUUUUAUGAAAGCAAAUCUAAUCAUUCCUUUUUUUUUUUUUUUUUUUUUUUUUGCGCUAAUCAAAUUUUACAAAUACUUCUUGCUUGCUACGCACCUGUUUGGGGUGGGCUUCUCUACUAACCCCGAGACUGAAAGCAUGCUUAUUAUGAUCUCACCAUAAAGUGUAACAGAUCUCUCACCCUCUUAAUUUAUCCUUUAUAUGCAGAUGAUUACUUUAAAUUC
This is a long non-coding RNA of Pyrus x bretschneideri (Chinese white pear), 1812 nucleotides long. RefSeq lists it as uncharacterized. The transcript has 2 exons. The record is from RefSeq and is a predicted model, not a curated record. NCBI's taxonomy places the organism in Eukaryota, Viridiplantae, Streptophyta, Magnoliopsida, Rosales, Rosaceae.